RNAcentral lists this ribosomal RNA (254 nucleotides) under uncultured bacterium. RNAcentral's name for it is "partial 16S ribosomal RNA". It matches the Rfam family "Bacterial small subunit ribosomal RNA", at positions 524 to 776 of the family's 1533-position model. The record is from RNAcentral.
UACAGAGGGUGCGAGCGUUAAUCGGAAUUACUGGGCGUAAAGGGCUCGUAGGCGGCCAACUGAGUCAGACGUGAAAUCCCUCGGCUUAACCGGGGAACUGCGUCUGAUACUGGAUGGCUUGAGUUUGGGAGAGGGAUGCGGAAUUCCAGGUGUAGCGGUGAAAUGCGUAGAUAUCUGGAGGAACACCGGUGGCGAAGGCGGCAUCCUGGACCAACACUGACGCUGAGUGAGCGAAAGCCAGGGGAGCAAACGGG